GACGAACGCUGGCGGCGUGCCUAAUACAUGCAAGUUGAGCGAUGAAGAUUGGUGCUUGCUCCAAUUUGAAGAGCAGCGAACGGGUGAGUAACGCGUGGGGAAUCUGCCUUUGAGCGGGGGACAACAUUUGGAAACGAAUGCUAAUACCGCAUAACAACUUUAAACAUAAGUUUUAAGUUUGAAAGAUGCAAUUGCAUCACUCAAAGAUGAUCCCGCGUUGUAUUAGCUAGUUGGUGAGGUAAAGGCUCACCAAGGCGAUGAUACAUAGCCGACCUGAGAGGGUGAUCGGCCACAUUGGGACUGAGACACGGCCCAAACUCCUACGGGAGGCAGCAGUAGGGAAUCUUCGGCAAUGGACGAAAGUCUGACCGAGCAACGCCGCGUGAGUGAAGAAGGGUUUCGGAUCGUAAAACUCUGUUGGUAGAGAAGAACGUUGGUGAGAGUGGAAAGCUCAUCAAGUGACGGUAACUACCCAGAAAGGGACGGCUAACUACGUG
This 497-nucleotide ribosomal RNA is filed under the name uncultured bacterium. RNAcentral's name for it is "partial 16S ribosomal RNA". It matches the Rfam family "Bacterial small subunit ribosomal RNA", at positions 28 to 507 of the family's 1533-position model. The record is from RNAcentral.